RNAcentral lists this ribosomal RNA (504 nucleotides) under uncultured bacterium. RNAcentral's name for it is "bacterial SSU rRNA". It matches the Rfam family "Bacterial small subunit ribosomal RNA", at positions 17 to 518 of the family's 1533-position model. The record is from RNAcentral.
UUAUGGCUCAGGAUGAACGCUAGCGACAGGCUUAACACAUGCAAGUCAGGGGCAGCAUAAAAGUAGCAAUACUUGGUGGCGACCGGCGCACGGGUGAGUAACGCGUAUGCAACCUACCUAUCAGAGGGGAAUAACCCGGCGAAAGUCGGACUAAUACCGCAUAAACAGGGCACCGCAUGGUGAUAUUUGUUAAAGAAAUUCGCUGAUAGAUGGGCAUGCGUUCCAUUAGGUAGUUGGUGAGGUAACGGCUCACCAAGCCGACGAUGGAUAGGGAACUGAGAGGUUGGUCCCCCACACUGGUACUGAGACACGGACCAGACUCCUACGGGAGGCAGCAGUGAGGAAUAUUGGUCAAUGGGCGGGAGCCUGAACCAGCCAAGUCGCGUGAAGGAAGAAGGAUCUAUGGUUCGUAAACUUCUUUUGCAGGGGAAUAAAGUGCAGGACGUGUCCUGUUUUGUAUGUACCCUGAGAAUAAGGAUCGGCUAACUCCGUGCCAGCCGCCGC